Molecule: long non-coding RNA, 1060 nt
Filed under: Marmota monax (woodchuck)
Lineage: Eukaryota; Metazoa; Chordata; Mammalia; Rodentia; Sciuridae
Source: RNAcentral
GGCUCUAGUGAAUGGGAUUAGUGCACUUAUGAAAGAGAACCAGGAGAGCUCAGUAGCCCCAUACACCAUGAGAGGACAGGCAAGAGGGUGCCAUCUGUGACCUAGGGAACAGGUCCUCACUAGAUAAUGAACCUGCUUCUAGAACUACGAGGAAUGCAUUUCUGUUGUUGAUAAGGCAUUUUGUCACAGCAGCCAGAAAAGACCAAGAGAGUGGGCCUCCUGACCACGGGGCCAUGAUGGUCACCUUGUCGUUCCACACCAGGCACAGGGCCUGGUAUAUGGCAUUAGUUUUGGAAAAUAAACAAAGAAACUAUUGUAAGACAGUAGCUCCAAUGAUUAGUUAGAUGGGGAUUUACACUCUUCCUGCAGAAUGGCCUGCGGAUGUGUGGAGUUUCUCCUGUUUCUGUUUACAUGUUUUUCCUUGGCUCAAACUUCUUGAAUCAGAAAGCUACUUCCUUGGACUACACUAUUUUGGGUCCCCAUUGAACCACCUUUAUUUGGAAGAUUAAAUGGAAAGGGGAAUGAGGGAGCUUUCUGGAAAUACGAACAUUCUCGAGGUGUAUACAUUUGCCAAACCCAUCUCAUUGAAUAUUUAGAUUCUGUGCAUCUCACUGUAAGUAACUUUUCCUUUAAUAAAGAAUUCAUUGUGGAAAAACAAAAAUAAUUGCUUUUGUUGCUUUUUCAUCAGUCUAUCUGAAGAAAAUGUAUAUGGUCCUCCUACUCAAAUGCAUCUGCAGACCAGCAGGGAUCUUGUUAGAAAUGCAGACUCUCUGUCCCCACCUCUUGGCCAGAGAACCAGGAUCUGUGUUUUCAGUAAGAUUCCCAGGUGGUGCAUAUGCACGACAAAGUCUGAGAGGGGUGGGUAUGAGAAGGAUGUGAACUGGAGCCCUCAACAGGAGAGAGGAGGGACCUGCAGAUGACCCAGUGGCCAUGCUGGGAGAUCACCUGGCUCUUGCGCAUCAAGGAAGCAUUUCAGACCAAGAGGAUGGAGACUGUCAGGAUGUUCGGUAAAUACUUGUUAAGUCAAUGAGUUGGCAUUUGACUUGGGUUUUGAAAAAGA